CCUCGCUUUUCUCAACCGUAGGGAGGUUGAGGAACAAGUGCUGGGCAAGACCGGUGCCAGCCGCCGCGGUAAUACCGGCAGCACAAGUGAUGACCGCUGUUAUUGGGCCUAAAGCGUCCGUAGCUGGCCAGACAAGUUCAUCGGGAAAUCUGCGCGCCUAACGCGCAGGCGUCCGGUGGAAACUGCCUGGCUUGGGACCGGAAGACCAGAGGGGUACGUCUGGGGUAGGAGUGAAAUCCCGUAAUCCUGGACGGACCACCGGUGGCGAAAGCGCCUCUGGAAGACGGAUCCGACGGUGAGGGACGAAAGCUCGGGUCACGAACCGGAUUAGAUACCCGGGUAGUCCGAGCUGUAAACGAUGUCUGCUAGGUGUGACACAGGCUACGAGCCUGUGUUGUGCCGUAGGGAAGCCGUGAAGCAGACCGCCUGGGAAGUACGUCCGCAAGGAUGAAACUUAAAGGAAUUGGCGGGGGGAGCCACAA
Molecule: ribosomal RNA, 482 nt
Filed under: Natrialba sp. AC12
Lineage: Archaea; Methanobacteriati; Methanobacteriota; Halobacteria; Halobacteriales; Natrialbaceae
Description: bacterial SSU rRNA
Rfam family: Archaeal small subunit ribosomal RNA
Source: RNAcentral